UGAGAGUCUGCAGGACGCGCUGCGCGUGGCAGGACUCCACACACGGCUCUUCAGAGCCCAGCUCCGACUCCUCCGCCCCUGGGCCCUCCAGCAUCCUGCCAGGCAGAGAUCCUGGAGAGGGUAGAUAGGACAUCAAUUUCAGUAGGAUGACCAGUUGCCUCACAGAGACAUGAAAAGGCCAUCUCCUGGACUGCUGCAUGGAUUAAAAGCCCCUAGCAUGUUGCCAGAUAUACAAUAAGUGCUUAAUAAAUGACAACUGUUAACUCUG
Molecule: long non-coding RNA, 268 nt
Organism: Manis pentadactyla (Chinese pangolin)
Lineage: Eukaryota; Metazoa; Chordata; Mammalia; Pholidota; Manidae
Exons: 2
Source: RefSeq, a predicted model, not a curated record